CCUACGGGUGGCUGCAGUAGGGAAUUUUCGUCAAUGGGCGCAAGCCUGAACGAGCAAUGCCGCGUGAACGAGGAAGGUCUUCGGAUCGUAAAAUUCUGUUGGAGGGGAAAAAGAGCGGAGAGCGGAAAUGAACUCCGAUUGAUAUUACCCUUCGAGGAAGUCACGGCUACCUACGUGCCAGCACACGCGGUAAUACGUAGGUGGCGAGCGUUAUCCGGAAUGAUUGGGCGUAAAGGGUGCGUAGGCGGCCUGCUAAGUCUGGAGUGAAAGGUACCGGCUCAACCGGUACAGGCUCUGGAAACUGGCGGGCUAGAGAGCAGGAGAGGGCGGUGGAAUGCCAUGUGUAGCGGUAAAAUGCGUAGAUAUAUGGAAGAACACCAGUGGCGAAGGCGGCCGCCUGGCCUGUUACUGACGCUGAGGCACGAAAGCGUGGGGAGCAAAUAGGAUUAGAUACCCCUGUAGUC
RNAcentral lists this ribosomal RNA (464 nucleotides) under uncultured bacterium. RNAcentral describes it as "partial 16S ribosomal RNA". It matches the Rfam family "Bacterial small subunit ribosomal RNA", at positions 338 to 795 of the family's 1533-position model. The record is from RNAcentral.